AUACGUAGGGUGCAAGCGUUAAUCGGAAUUACUGGGCGUAAAGCGUGCGCAGGCGGUUUUGUAAGACGGUGGUGAAAUCCCCGGGCUCAACCUGGGAACUGCCAUUGUGACUGCAAGGCUGGAGUGCGGCAGAGGGGGAUGGAAUUCCGCGUGUAGCAGUGAAAUGCGUAGAUAUGCGGAGGAACACCGAUGGCGAAGGCAAUCCCCUGGGCCUGCACUGACGCUCAUGCACGAAAGCGUGGGGAGCAAACAGGAUUAGAUACCCUGGUAGUCCACGCCCUAAACGAUGUCAACUGGUUGUUGGGGAUUUAUUUUCUCAGUAACGAAGCUAACGCGUGAAGUUGACCGCCUGGGGAGUACGGCCGCAAGGUUAAAACUCAAAGGAAUUGACGGGG
RNAcentral lists this ribosomal RNA (395 nucleotides) under uncultured bacterium. RNAcentral describes it as "partial 16S ribosomal RNA". It matches the Rfam family "Bacterial small subunit ribosomal RNA", at positions 523 to 918 of the family's 1533-position model. The record is from RNAcentral.